Non-coding RNA from Schistosoma haematobium, 45 nucleotides. The record is from Rfam. NCBI's taxonomy places the organism in Eukaryota, Metazoa, Platyhelminthes, Trematoda, Strigeidida, Schistosomatidae.
AUCCAGCUGACGAGUCUCGAAUAGGACAAAAUGUGCGUCCUGGAU